Molecule: long non-coding RNA, 1192 nt
Filed under: Struthio camelus australis
Lineage: Eukaryota; Metazoa; Chordata; Aves; Struthioniformes; Struthionidae
Description: lncRNA (ENSSCUG00000018565.1)
Source: RNAcentral
CGAAUAGGAACCUUCCAGCCCUGCCACGUGAUUUCUCGGACUGUCUGCAGAAAGACUGACCGUUGACUGACCAUCAUUUGCAGAGUUAAAUUUUUUUCCAGGAGAAGAAAGCUAUGAAAAAAUGUCAGAGCUGUGUUCCUUAUUGUUUUGUUAAUAUUUGCACCACAGAAACCCAGAGUCUCAAUCACGAAGCAAGACUGCUUUCUGUUUAGUGUUGCCUAAUAUGCAGAACAAGAAGAUGGCCUCUACCACAGCAAGCUUACAAGUGUCUACUUGCCAAAAGCGCUGUGUCCCUGGCUAACUGCCAGCUUUCAGAGUGUGUUGCAGGCAAUGCAGAGCUGAGACUGAGCUUGAGGGCAGAUUCUCAAGAGGAUUCCCAUCGUUGCAGUACUAACCUGCAUAAUUCUGAACUCUUCAUACCCAGAGGGCCAGAGCCAUUCACAACCCUGAAGCUCAUUACCGUGCGUUUCUCAACACUGAACUGCUUAGUCUGCCCAUACGUCAACUCGAUUCAAGCCAUUCCAAAUUUUAUUACCCUCCUGCUUUGUAUUGACUAUUCCUCCCUGCAUUAGACUGCUUAUCAAAUCUUGCCUUCCAAGCCUGCUGCUUGCUUCUGGCUGCUAACUUCUGGCUGCUAACGUUGAAGUUGAUAAUGCAUGUAGAAAUCUGCUGGUCAGCUUCCUUCAACCCACUCUUUUUUCUUUCCUUUCAAAGCCAAUAUUUUGUCCGUGUUCCUCAUCAACAAUAAUGUACUUACUAAUAAUUUAAUAAUCUGUACGUAUUUUUCAUUAAUACUUUGUAAUUACUCUUUCUCUGUUAUACCAUACUAGCUUUAAGUGUAACCCCUCUUGUGGUUCCAUUCUGCUUGUCAUUUAUUAUGGUAAUGCUUUUGGUAAGUUUACAUGCAUGUUUUCAGCAUUCAGGUUUAGUGCUUGCUGUGGAGAUCAAGUUUAAAAGUCUGAAAUGGCAUAUCUUAAUUAUCUAAUCAUUGCACAAACAGAAAAGAAAAUGAAAGUGGAGGCUUUUCAAGAAAAUGGUCUUUUAUGACUUAGGAUAGGAACUCUGGUCAAAUAUGUUGCUAGUUGUUUAUGGGAGAAAUUUUGGCAAGACACAUGCCUCAUGUUACUGUCUUUUAGAAUUCUUUCUGUAUAGGUGAUAAUAUCUGCUAGGCCUUUUGCAUGCCAGAAUGAGG